This 497-nucleotide ribosomal RNA is filed under the name uncultured bacterium. Its description in RNAcentral is "partial 16S ribosomal RNA". It matches the Rfam family "Bacterial small subunit ribosomal RNA", at positions 28 to 507 of the family's 1533-position model. The record is from RNAcentral.
GAUGAACGCUGGCGGCGUGCCUAAUACAUGCAAGUCGAGCGAACAGACGAGGAGUUUGCUCCUCUGACGUUAGCGGCGGACGGGUGAGUAACACGUGGAUAACCUACCUAUAAGACUGGGAUAACUUCGGGAAACCGGAGCUAAUACCGGAUAAUAUCUUGAACCGCAUGGUUCAAUAGUGAAAGACGGUUUUGCUGUCACUUAUAGAUGGAUCCGCGCCGCAUUAGCUAGUUGGUAAGGUAACGGCUUACCAAGGCAACGAUGCGUAGCCGACCUGAGAGGGUGAACGGCCACACUGGAACUGAGACACGGUCCAGACUCCUACGGGAGGCAGCAGUAGGGAAUCUUCCGCAAUGGGCGAAAGCCUGACGGAGCAACGCCGCGUGAGUGAUGAAGGGCUUCGGAUCGUAAAACUCUGUUAGUAGGGAAGAACAAAUGUGUAAGUAACGAUGCACGUCUUGACGGUACCUAAUCAGAAAGCCACGGCUAACUACGUG